RNAcentral lists this ribosomal RNA (479 nucleotides) under uncultured bacterium. RNAcentral describes it as "partial 16S ribosomal RNA". It matches the Rfam family "Bacterial small subunit ribosomal RNA", at positions 28 to 507 of the family's 1533-position model. The record is from RNAcentral.
GAUGAACGCUAGCGGGAGGCCUAACACAUGCAAGCCGAGCGGUAGAGUCUCUUCGGAGCCUUGAGAGCGGCGCACGGGUGCGGAACACGUGUGCAACCUGCCUUUAUCUGGGGGAUAGCCUUUCGAAAGGAAGAUUAAUACCCCAUAAUAUACUGGAUGGCAUCAUCUGGUAUUGAAAACUCCGGUGGAUAGAGAUGGGCACGCGCAAGAUUAGAUAGUUGGUGAGGUAACGGCUCACCAAGUCAGCGAUCUUUAGGGGGCCUGAGAGGGUGAUCCCCCACACUGGUACUGAGACACGGACCAGACUCCUACGGGAGGCAGCAGUGAGGAAUAGUGGACAAUGGGUGAGAGCCUGAUCCAGCCAUCCCGCGUGAAGGACGACGGCCCUAUGGGUUGUAAACUUCUUUUGUAUAGGGAUAAACCUAGAUACGUGUAUCUAGCUGAAGGUACUAUACGAAUAAGCACCGGCUAACUCCGUG